This 224-nucleotide ribosomal RNA is filed under the name uncultured bacterium. RNAcentral describes it as "partial 16S ribosomal RNA". It matches the Rfam family "Bacterial small subunit ribosomal RNA", at positions 15 to 230 of the family's 1533-position model. The record is from RNAcentral.
GAUCAUGGCUCAGGAUGAACGCUAGCUACAGGCUUAACACAUGCAAGUCGAGAGGCAGCAUGGUCUUAGCUUGCUAAGGCCGAUGGCGACCGGCGCNCGGGUGAGUAACGCGUAUCCAACCUGCCUUACACUCUUGGACAGCCUUCUGAAAGGGAGAUUAAUACAAGAUGUUAUCAUGAGUAAGCAUUUUCGCAUGAUUAAAGGUUUACCGGUGUAAGAUGGGG